Molecule: long non-coding RNA, 12417 nt
Organism: Zeugodacus cucurbitae (melon fly)
Lineage: Eukaryota; Metazoa; Arthropoda; Insecta; Diptera; Tephritidae
Exons: 4
Source: RefSeq, a predicted model, not a curated record
UGCGCCUGCUUGAGAGUGACGUCGUUGAACGUCGCGUCGCGUCGCGUCGUAUCGCAUGGCGGCGCGUUAUUACCGCAUUGACAUCGUUCUUUGACUUGCUGGCGUACGGCGGCAUUUAAGCCGAACCAAAGCGCAAGCUAUGCGCCAAAACAAACCACGUCGGAUGUGACACAUUUGCAAGCGCACGUUUAGUUAGAUUUGAGCGGCGCGUUCGUGGUAGGCAGUUAAUGAAAAAUAAGAAAUAUAUUAACAUUUAAAUAAACAAAUAAUAAUUUUAAUGCAAGAGAAAUAUUUAUUUCAAAAUAGUUUCGUAUACUUUAGUGGAACUGAGUGCGCGCCGCAUUACCCGCCCGAGUCGCUGGUACGCACAGUAAUUGCAUUUGCCGUUGAACAGGUAUUACAAAUAACACUAUUUAAUGCAAAUAUAUAACGAAAGAGUGCCAAUUUAGUGCGGAGUAUUACUAUUAAUGUAAAAAUUCGGCGCGCUCACUACGAAAUGCACAGCGCUCAGCGGCACCGACAACGCCGCGCUCUACUACACACAGAUUACACAUAAAUUUGAGUGAAUGUAUUACAUGUGCGGCGCUUGCAGUCGUGCGCUUUACCACUGCAAUUUGUAAUCACUCGAAAUGCUUUGCAAAAUGCAUACAUGGCGAACAAAGACAAUUGGCAGCGCUGCCUUGCGCCUGCACUGUUGAGCGCUUGACUUGGAAAAUAUCUUAUUUUUUACGAUUUUGUAACACUUGCAUUGCACCGUCGCUCUUAAGUGGCUAGCAGCCGCGCAACGCUUACAUUUCUGUGUAUUUCUGCAGUCGCAACGGUCGCAACGCCAGCCAGCAGCAGCAGCGCGCUGUCGUAGGUGCCGCAUAACCCACCAAAAACGCCAGCGUUAAGCCGUUACAUAUGUACAACGCAUACAUUUGAAGAGUUUGUAUUACUACCACACCUACAACGUGCGGAGCGCUCAAACGGCGCUCUGCUGUACAUACUUUUGCUGGCGAAUUUGAAGUUCUUGGCCGUCUGCUCGUCCGGUAGCAAUGCACUCGACGCGCCGCUUUUCACCGACAACGCUGACUGCAAUAAUGCAGAGAGCAAGCAUCAAAAAAAAAUAAAAAAUAAAUAAUUGUUUAUUGAAAUAUGUGCGCAAAAAAAUUAAUUAUUAAAUUAAAUUGCAAAAAAAAUAAAAAUCUGUACAAUUUUAAAGCGCUGCGUACGUGGACGUAAACAUUAGCGUAAGCGAGAGCGCAUAAACGCCGCAGGCUGGUAUUUAUGCGUGUGAUAAGGAACAAAAAAAAAAAAAACAAAUAUAUAUUAUAUAUAUUUGCUUCAAAGUUCACGGGAUUUUCAAUUAAUCAUAAAAUUAGAAUCGGCGCUUAAAAAAAAACAAUUUUCAUUAACGAAAAGUCGCAAGUAAAGUGCAAAAAGAGCAAGCGGUGAAUAAGUGUGCGGAAAAUAAAAAUAUAUAUGUAUAAAAUAAAUUACUCCGGUUCACCGAUCGAUGCUUUUGGACCCUACCUCAAUGCAGCUUGUUACAUACAUACGAAUAAUGUGUAUACCGACUGUACGCAAGUGAAUAUUAAACCUACAUAUAUACUAUAUAUACUCAACGCUAUGUGGCGGCUUUUGCCAAAAAAUAUGUGUUGAAAAAUACUUACAAAUAAACUAAGCAACAAAUUUUUAAAAAUAAAAUACAAUUUUGUGCAAUUUUUUUUAAUAAAAAUAUUUAAAUAUGUCUUAAAGCAGUGCAUAAAAAUAGUGAACUAUUAAAAAUUUGGAAAUCGACUUUGUACGGAAAUUUAUAAAUUUUUGAAAAAUCGCCUGACACGCGUAAUUAUUUGAAUACAAAACGCAAUAAGAAAAUAAUUUUACACACAUGAGUAUGAGCCAUUUUGGUUAAUUGAAUUUUCCGCUUUCAACAAAUGGCGACGGCAUUCGGUAAUCAUUAGCAACACGAGCGAUUCGCAAUGAAAGCUAACAACAAAUGUGUCAGCGCCGACGGCAUGUUGAAAUGACGAACGAGCAAAAAUUGUAAUAAAAUCAGAGCGCUGCAAUAUCAGCAACAGCCGCUGUCUCUGUCUUCGCCAUUGUCGCCGUCGCCGUCCCGGACACCGGCACAGGCGCUGUCACUGGGUCUCUGGUGAGUUUCUGUUUUUGUUGGCUGACUGACUGAACCUGGAGGCGAAUGCGAAAAAUUUCUCUACCCUUUUUCAGUAUGGAGCGCGACUUUGAAACGUUUGCAACGUUGGCACCGUAAAAUAAUACGUUGAAGUGCAAAUGCAUUGCGUUGCAGCAGCUGCUCGGUAAUAUCAACUCACUAGCCCGAACCGAGUGAGUAGCUGACUAAGUGACUGACGGAUGGACUGACGGAUUGUGUGACUGACUUGGGACUAGUUGACUAAGUUUACGUUUAUGGUGCGCUUCUAUGAACUUAACAGAAAGUAGCUGGCUGGCAGCUUGUCUGCCGGAAUGGUUGAUUGAAAAAUGACACAUACUCAUUCAUACAUACGUAACUGCAAACGUUGCAUAUUUUUUGAAAAAAAAAAAAAUUAAAAAGUAAUGCAAAUUAUUUUUUUUUAUCGUAAAGUAUAAUUUUAACUAAAACAACAACGACAACUAAAAUAUUAUUUAUAAAAUAACGGUAAACAGUUAAUUGAAAUUGUGAAAAUGUGUGAUAAAAGUGUGUAAACCGUGGAAAGACGUGAAAGAAGAAAGCAAUAAACUGGCUAGCAAACGGUUGUGAAAGAAAUUUCUGCAAAAAAUCAUAAAAAAACAAAAUUUAAAAUUGAAAAAAAUUAAAAAAUGUCGAAAUAUUGUGUAAAUAUUUAUAUAAAAAUUUUAAUUUAAUUGUGAAAAAAAUUAUAAAUAAAUUUUUUUUUAAAUCAUUUAAAAAACUUCAAAAUAAUAUAAAUGAUAAAUUAAUUAAUAAUUAAUUAUAAAAAUAUGAUAAACAUAAAAAUAAUAAAGUAAACAUGCUUUAUAAUACCACAGACAUAAAUAUAUAUAAUAAGCUAAGACCAAACAAAAAGUUAUAAAAUAAAAAAAUUAAAAAAAUUAUUAAAUAUUAAUUAAUUAAAACUCUGCUCAAAAUCGCCACUAAAUUAUUCAAAAAUAAAUAAACAACUCUUUUUUUACAAUAAAAUAGCAAUAAUUCUAACUUCUUCCAACUGCCAAAGUGGCAACUCGUUCACACACAUACACACUCAUACCACCCAAUAAGUGUGUGUGUGUAGGUACCAUUUGGUAGAGAAUUUCUUAGAUUUUUUUAUACCAACGUUGUGACUCCAAUCGAAUCGGAAGCAGUGAAAGAAUUUUUUCGUUGACCUACGACAAAGGAAAUGAAGUCAGUUGCAAGCCAAACACCAAUACACAUGCAUACUCGCACACUGCUUCAAUGCACAUGGGAAAGCAUACCAAUACAUCAGCAAUGCUGUAUAUGCCAACGCAUACAUGCAGGCAUUUGUUUGCCCAACCAUCCACAUAUGUAUAUACAGGCAAACACAUAAGCGACUUGCUGUCGAUAUUAUGAAACACAUACAUAUGUAUGCAGGCAACCGCCAUGGAUGCGCACCAAUACAGCGUAGCAAAGGGUUGUGUGCCAACAAAUACUCGAAAGCCACAUAAGAGCACACACACAAUACUCAUACUCACACGCUUGAUAUAGUAAGCGUAAAUGCUGCACUUGCUGUUACAACAACAACAGCACGGCAAGCACAAAUGGCAACAACAAGAACAAAAAUAAUAAUAACAACAAAAUAGGCACACAACAGCGGCAUUGCAGCCGAAAGCGCUUGCAUACAUGCAUGCAUAUCUAUGCAACAACAACGGCAAUAACAAUAAAAAAAUAGCGUAUACACACCGCAGCGAGUGGCUGUCAACGCGCAUGAACACUGUGGCCAAAAAGUGAAGGCUUGAUGGCGGUGUGGUUGUUUAUGUGCAUACGCAACACAUACUUAUACACAUAAUUGUUUUUUUUUUGUUUUUUUAUUUUUGUAUUUUUUUUGUGUGAAGUGUUUGUUUGUUGAUAUUGUUGCAUUGGCCUUAUCGUAAACGUUUGUCCUUUAUUAAUUUGAAAUUAUAUAUAAUGCAUUUAAAAAAAUUAAAUUGAAAACUUAUAAAAGCUUUCGUAGAAGAAAAAGCUAAAAAAUAAAUGAAAAGCUUUUUCUCCUAAUAUUUAAUUAUCUCCAAAAGAAAUAUAUUUAAUUUUCUAAAGCAUACAUAAAAAUGUCAAAACAUAAAAAAAGCUUUUAAGAUCGGAAAAAGCUUUUGUUUUUUUUCAAGAAGUCAGCUUUUCUUGCUACGUUUCGUGAAUCCAACUGCUAUUUUAACCUUUCGUAGAUCUUAAAUUUCAUAUCUCUCAUUUUCCAAAAAAAAGCUUUUAAGCUCUGAAGACUCUUUUUUCAAGAAAUUAGUUUUUUUACUACGUUUUUUAAUUCCAACUAAAUCUCUCUUUGAUAUGUUUAAUUCUCUAAAUAUACUUAAAAACUGCAACAUUUAAAAAAAGCUUUUAAGGCCUAAAAAGGCUUUUUGCAAAGAAAUAAUAUUUUUUCGAAGUUAUAACCACUUUUUUGCACCUUUAUUUACUUAAAUUUCAUAUGUUUAAUUUUCUAAGCAAAACUUAAAAACAGCUUUUAAGCUUAAAAAAGUUUUUUUCGAAGAAAUUAGAAUUUUAGAAUUUCAACUAAAUCUUUCAUUUGAUAUGUUUAAUUUUCUAAAUAAUACUUAAAAACUGCAACAUUUAAAAAAAGCUUUUAAGGCCUAAAAAAGCUUUUUUUCAUAAAAAUUAUCACAACCAAUUUUUUACUCCUUCGAAGAUCUUUUUACCUUUUGAAUUCGACAUGAUUUAUUGAAUUGUAUGAAAGCUUCGAAAAAAAGUUCCCAUUGAGAAAAUUCUUCACAUAGUUUGCUUAAUUUCUCACAAUUUAAAUUAAUACUUACCACAGUUUACUACUAUAUAACCAAAAAUACUUCAUUUAAUGAAGCUAGUAAUAUUUUUUUUUUUUUUUACUCAAUGAACAUUGUCUUCUCUCACCCAAGAUUUCCAUAUUUUUUUGCACUUAUUAUGGUGUAACCACUAAAAUUUGUCUACUGUCUCACAACUCAUAAAUGGAACUCUUAUACCAGUACUUACCUUUGUACCUUAGCAAAUGUUUCUUUAUGUCCCAAAAUGCAUGCUCAUAUGUAAUUCUUCAUGGUCCAUAAUAUUUAGAAACACAAUUUUUAAUGACAAUAGGAAAGACAGGAAGUUAUAAAUCGCAAUUCGUUAUAGAACUAAUAUUGAGUAAAUGUAUGUAGUGCUCAGAAAACCGUGUGAAAUCGGAAGAGCCGUCUUUUCUCAUUGCUUCGGUGUCAUUAAAAUGUACUAAAAUGGAGUAAAAUGUUUGGUGAAGAUAUAAAGGAAGUAAUACAAGUAGAAGUUGUAACAGACAAUAAAUAGUGAAACAAAAAAAGCUUAUGACAAACUCAUGAUAGUUAAAAUAUACUGAAAGAAAAGCUCAUGAAUACAAAAACAAUUUGUAACAGGUAGUUUUUUUAUUUAAUUUUUUUGUUAAUGAUUUAUUUCUCAAUGAAAAGUAUUUAUGUAACUAUCUCAUACAUGAAAAAUAUUUGAUAUCACAACUUAGAUUUGAUAUCACAGACGAUCCGCGAGAUGGGUAGUACUGCUGAAGACAGUUCUUUAUGGAACUAGAAAAUUCGUAUAAAAGGGUCUCAUGAAUUGACAAGCGUCUUGAACCCCUAGCAAUCUUCUUAAGCAUUUUAUUAUAACUUCCGUUGGUGCACCUGGAUUUUAAAAAACGUGAGAUGUAAGAUGUUUUAGACUAGAUCUCGCAGUAAACCUCUAACAAUUCUUCUUCUUAGCUCUUACAAUGUGAAAUCUUAUUUUCUUGAUUAACAAUUUAAAACAUUUUCGUGGUGAGUUUCCAAAAACGUUUUUCGUGGUGAGUUUCCAAAAACGUGGUGAGUUUUGAAUUAAAAAAUGUUAAAAUGUGGUGAUUUCGGGAUUAUUGAGUGUUCUAUUUUAUUUGUUCCAUUCAAUUUAAUUGGGAGCUUUAAAAAAUAAACUGAGCUUAGUAGUGAAUAUUAAAAAUAAAUAAAUAAACUGAAAUAUGAACUAAAAAUAAUAAUAAUAAACUUCAACACAGUAAAUAAUAGUAAAAAAUCAAUACAAUAAACUAAAACUAACAGUAAUAAUACACCAAACAUUUGUGGCGAUUGAAAAUUGAUUAACCAAAAGCUACUACGCAAUUACGAUAAAAUAAUUAAGGCUUAUGUGCCUCAAAUAUUUGAUUCACUAGUAGAGAAAGGAAACAGUUAUAUACAUAUAAACCUCUAUUUGUGCAUAUAUGUAUAAAAAAGUGCAACAAAAAACUGACCCUGCCAACAAAAAUUGCAACAAAAACUAUGCACAUGCGCCGUACAACCGUUGAUGCAAAACAAAAUGCUGUUUUCCGAAUGUAUUUGGUGAAAAUUAACAUGCAUGCCCCAACCACCCUUAAAUCGGCAAAAAAAACUAGUAAAAAGCAUAAACAGACAACGAACAAAGAACCAACGAGUAGUCGAGCAACGAACUGUGCGGCAAAACUAUAACAAGAACAAGCACGAGAGAAAAACUACAUUAAGACUGGCGUAGGACGCCAUGAACUGCACACAUUCCUACAUAUUCGUAUUGCAAGGACUUUUCAACUUCAACUACGAAGUGCAGCGCUGUGCACUACACAUUUUCGUGAGUACUAUAUACCGUUUGAGAAACCACAAAUGUACGCUCGUUUCGUUAACUCGUUGAACUGGUAUUCGUUGUUAGUUGUUAGUUUGUGCUGGUUGGAAAAUUUCAUCGCUUCGUAAAUACAGUUUGAACUACUCGUGCAUUGCUGUGAUGACUCGUACAAUGGCCGAGAAGACAAGGCCUCGGCAAAUGCAACUACUGUAUACACUAGUGCAGUGGCUACAGUGAAAAAGGAUGGCCUUAAAGGAUAAUAGUUCAAGUGCAAAGAGGAUGCCGUCAACGAACGGAAAUAUAUAUUUACAGACAAACCGUUAUUGAUAUACUAUAUACUUCUUGCUGUAUGUGGGUGACUUUAUAUGGCGCUGCAGUCACGCACACAUUUUAAGUUGAGCCUCCACCAGUGCAUCCACCACACUUAUAGAGAGUUGCAUUUGUUUGUGUGUGGCGAAAUUCUACUAAAAAUACUCUCGAAAAUAUAAGGACGAAAGGAGCGAAUCACUAAUUAAAUAAUAUCAGCAUAACAAUGUACAAAACAAUAAGGACAUGUUGAGCAAUAAAAUGGAAGGACCUUUGUGGGAUGAGCUUUAUACAAUUUUGAAGGAUGUACUCUAAAUUCAGUUAUCGCAGAUUUAUGUGGCCUAUGAAGACUUCUCACGGUAGCUAGUAUAUUUCAAAGCCUCGAAGGAUGUUUUAUGUUUUAACAACCACUAGAAAAGGAGUUUUAUAAGUAUUCGUAACUUGAUAUUAAAUAUGUUUUUAAAUAACUACUAAUAUAUUUCUCUUUUCGAUUCUAGCGCCACAGACUAAUGCUAUCAAUAUUUAUUGAUAACAAGCGUUGCAACAGCGAUUGGAAAAGCUUUACAUGAAGACAUCCAAAACCGUCUCAUACUAUGAAAUUUCUUUAGAUCCCAUAAAAGCAUCUAAAGAAGCAUGUCUACUUCUGUUUAUAGUGUUUUGUUCAACCAAUGAUGGGAAGUAUGGAUCAUAAGAAACCUCAGAGUAAGGCAGUAGAAAUUUACAUCAAGAAGGUAACAGAAGGUUUAAAAAAAAUCGUUGAAGAAAAAUUAAUUUUUAUUACGAAAAGUAUUGAGGUUAGAUUGUGAUAUUAAUAAUACUAAAAACAAACGAUACUCUACCUCCUCUUCCUCCGAAAAAUUGCACACAUUUCUCCAUUUGAAUGAUAUCUUGAAUAUUUUCUUGCUAUAUUUUCUUUAAAUGUAAUAGAUAUCAUAACACUUGGAAACAACUAGAUCUGAUAACGACAAAUCUAUCUGAUCUACUUCUUUUUUUUAACGGAACCCUUUGGGGUUCCUACGACAAAACAUUUAGGAAAAAUCCAAAAUUUUUUGGUACUAAUUACCAAUUUGGUAUCUACCAAAAGGUUAGGGAAUUUCUUUCUAACAAAUCGGUGCUCAGUUUUAGAUAGCAUUUCACUCCUAUUUCAAAUGUUCGGCAUUCAGUUAAUAAUUUGCAGCAAUAAACUCACGAAUCGAAUAAAUAUUUCACAUAGGGGAUCCAAAAACUUAUAAAAAAUUCCAACAAAAAGGCGAAGAAGAUUACAACGCGCAAACGAAUGGUGCAUACUUGUCUAUGGACCAUUAACAGAAACCCGUAAAUCCGAACUUGUGCUGUUGUUUGUGUUGCAAGACCGGCAUUAUGGGAGUCUGUCAAUGUAAACAACGUGUUGAAGGAACCAAAAACGAAAAAAGAUAAAUGGCAAAAAAUAAUAUAAAGCAAAUCUUAUGCUAUAUAAGAUAUGCUUAAUCGCGUCAACCUUUUUGCUAGUGGGGUUGUUGGGUGGGUUUGGUUCCAGUAGUUUAACAUUUCUCUGGCAAAUUGAGGUAGUAGGUUGUAUAGUAGUAUUGACGGCAUGCUAUACAACGUGCUAGCUUUCUUUGCUUGACACCAAGCAGCGUUUUAAUAAGUGCAAAAAGAGCUGAAAAUGCGGCGUAUGAACCGCAAAACGUGAAAUGAUAAAGAAAAGAGCGAAAUGUAUCACUUAUUAAUUGAAAAAUGUAUAAAAAGUAUUUUACAAAAAUUUUAAAUUUUUCUUAUGAAAUUUCUAAUGAGCAGCAAAUAGUUUGUAUGUAAUGCUCGUAAAGUGUUGUACUUGAAUUCGAAUCAUUACAUACGUAUGCUAUAUAAUAGUAAUAUAUAAGUUGUUUUUUGUUUUGCGUUGAGAUGUGUUUGUAUGGCUGAUUCCCUGAGACCCUAACUUGUGACUUUUUACAUCAGUUUCACAAGUUUUGAUCUCCGGUAUUGGCCGCAAACUUGCUGUUUUUGUGUGAAAUUCGUUUAACAUUAUCUACAUUCUCAAUCAUAGCAUAUAUAUUAAUGCGUACAACCUUCAUUCAUGUCAUCUAACCAAUUGCAUAUACAUACAGAAAUACUAUAUGUAAGAGUAUGCUUGUAACUGUUCAUAUAUGAUAUAUAAGGUAGGUUAAUGAAGGCAUUAUAUGGUAUUAUCGAAUAGUACAUAAAAAUAUCUAAAAAUUGUUGUUUCAUAAAGAAAAUAUAAAAAAGAAUUAUACUUUAAUAUCGUAAAUUGUAUCCGUGAGUAGAAGUGAUUGCUUUAAACGCUAAGGUUUGAAGAGAUUAAAACUAAUUAUGCAACGAUAUAGAAUUUAUUGUAUAAUUAAUUAUAUAUUUUAGCUAAUAAUCCACCAUGGGUCAGAUAUUCACCAUGCGCCAAAUCUUGGAAAAGAGCCGAAAGAGAAGAAUCGAUACACACCACCUUUUCAUCGAUUUCAAAGCUGGGAAAAGGGGCUUCCUGUAUGCCGCGAAUUCUGAAUUUGGUAUCUCUGCAAAGCUAAUACGGCUGUGUAAAAUGACCUUGAGCAACACCAAAAGCUCCGUCAGGAUCGGGAAGGACCUCUCCGAGCCGUUCGAUACCAAAGCAGGCUUCAAACAAGGUGAUAUCGAUAUCAUUGGAAACAAAACCCCCGCCGUUAGUUCUGCUUUUUCCCGCCUAGAUAAGGAAGCGAAGUAUAUGGGUCUGGUGGUGACCUGACACGAAAUAUCUACUGUCAUCAAACAAACAGUCAGCGCACUCGCGUCUUGGCUCGCACGUCACCGUUGACAGUCAUAACUUUGAAGUUGUAGAUAAUUUCUACUUGGGAAUCAGCAAUAACAACACCAAUAAUGUCAUCCUCGAAAUCCAACCCAGAAUCACUCUUGCCAACAGGUGCUACUUUGGACUGAGUAGGCAAUUGAAAAGUAAAGUCCACUCUCGACGAACCAAAAUCAAACUCUACAAGUCGCUUAUUAUUCCCAUCCUGGUGUAUGUUGCUGAAGCGUGGACAAUGACAACAUCCGAUGAGACGACUCUUGGGUUUUCGAAAGAAUGGUUUUGCGCAAGAUUUAUGGUCCUCUAAAUAUUGGCAACGGCGAAUACUACAGACGAUGGAACGAUGAGCUGUACGUAUUAUUCGACGACAUAGACAUAGUUCAGCGAAUAAAAAAUAGCGGCUAAGCUGGCUAGGUCAUGUUGUCCGAAUGGACGAAAGUUCUCCAGCUCUGAAAGUGUUCGAUGCAGUACCCGCUGUUGGAAGUCGCGGAAGAGGACGACCUCCACUCCGGUGGAAAGACAAAGUGGAAAGUGACCUGGCAGGACUUGGAAUUUCUAAAUGCGCGCUCUCGUGGAUUUGGAUAUAAUCGCCUAAGCGGUUUCUACACCAAAUAUAUAUAACCAAUACAAAUGUAAUUCCAAUUGAAAACAUAAAAAAAGCAGCGAUAACAGAAAAGUUAAAAAUCAUAGUCUACCCACAGGCGCAUAAGCUAUUAACCAAGCCAUAUAUGAGGCCGUCGCGACUAGGUAACCAAAUUUUAUAUUUAAAAGUAUAGCCAACUACUGUUUGUCGGCUAGUGAGCGCAGAAUAUUAACUGUGUAUUAUUACCUAACUUUUUUUAAUUCAUGCAAAUGGUGCUGAAUUUAAAUAAAUUAUAUAUAUUUUUUUUUAUUUCAAAUAUAAAUAUUUUAUUUUUUUAUUUAUUUGUAAAUGUUUCGAGUUGAAUAAAUUAUGAAAAGUGACCCCCAAAACAGCAUUAUACAUAUUAUAGUUGCCAUGGCAAAAAUAAUGGCAACUAUACAAUAAUAAGGGGUAUAGUAACAGAAUACGAUAUAGAGUUUGCUUCCACUACGCAAAAGAUUUUUAAGAUUAUUUUUUCUUCCUACAGAUACGAUUGCAAGUUUGCUAUUGUUCACCAAGGUAUUAUGGAGUGACAAGACAUUUCUUCAACCACAAUGCACGACGACGGUGGUCUGUAUUCUCACGUCAGUUGAGUCUACGUAUUCGGAAUGUACAGUUAAGACAGACAACUUAUUUGGGGAAACAAUUUCUACCACUACAACGACAAUAAAAUCAACAAUUGCCGUGUCACCACAGUCGAGUUGGAUCCAUAUAAAUAUUCCUGCGGCACUAUUUAGAGGAAAUUUUAGACUGCCACCGAGAAUGAAUCGAUAAAGUACUGACUUCCCAGUAUAAUAUAUAAAUAAGAUUUUAAUUAUAAAAUAAUACACAAACAUAAUUGCUUUUAAUUCAUAAUUUUUUUAUUUAAUUUAUCAAAUACAUUUUCAGAAUAAACGAUAAAACAUUUCACAUUAGCUGAGCAUAUGCUAGAUUUAUGCAUAUAAUAUAUCUAUACUAUAAAUAUGUUGGAUGCUUAAAGGUAGCUUUAACUAUAUGGUAUAACUAUGUGUAUUUUAUUACAUUAGGUUGGCAAAUAUCUUCCUUCAGCCUUUUUGUCUUUUGAAUUUCGCGGCGAUAUAUAAAGUGAUCAAAUCAUGGAAAACAUCGAGUUAGCAUAUGACAUCUCGUGACAUCGCCCAGGAGAUGGGAGUUAGUCACCAAAGCAUUUUAAACCAUCUGCGGAAGGCUGGGCACACAAAAAAGCUUGGUGUUUGAGUGCCGUAUGAUUUGACGCAAAAAAAAAACCUUCUGGAACGCAUCAACGCCUGCGAUAUGCUGCUGAAACGGAACGAACUCGAUCCAUUUCUGAAGCGGCUGAUGACUGGCGACGAAAAAUGGAUCACAUACGACAAUAUCAAGCGAAAACGGUCGUGGUCGAAGGCCGGUGAAUCAUCCCAAACUGUGGCCAAGCCGGGAUUGACGGCCAGGAAGGUUUUAAUAUGUGUUUGGUGGGAUUUGAAGGAAAUCAACCACUAUGAGCUACUUCCAUAUGGCCAGACGUUUAAUUCUAGCAUGUACUGCGAACAACUGGACCGCUUGAAGCGUUCAGAAUUGGCCAACAGGAAAGGUUUAGUGUUCCACCAGGACAACGCCAGACCACACACUUCGUUGAUGACUCGUCUGAAGUUAUGGAAGCUAGGAUGGUAGGUAUUAUCGCAUCCACCAUAUAGUCCGGACAUAGCGCUAAGUGAUUACCACAUAUUCCUAUCCAUUCCGAAUACCCUUGGUGGUGUAAAGUUGAACUUAAAAUGAGGCUUGUGAAAAGUGGCUAUCCGAGUUCUUCUCAAAUAAGGAGGGGGCUUCUACGAGGGGGUAUUAAGAAGUGGCUGUCUACAUGGCAACAAAUUAUCGAAUGAAAUGGCGCAUAUUCGAUCACUGUAACACUUUUUAUAAAGCAUUGAACAAAGACCAAAAAGCGGAUGGUAGAUAUUUGCCAACCUAAUAUGUGAAGGUAUGUGUAAGAGAUUUAUAUAAUAAAUGCGUAUGCGCACCAAAUACAUACUAUGA